CCAGCUCCAAUAGCGUAUAUUUAAGUUGUUGCAGUUAAAAAGCUCGUAGUUGGAUUUCGGGCGGCGCUGCCGGUCCGCCGUUUCGGUGUGUACUGGUCGGCGCCGUCUUCCUGGCGAGGAUCCGUUCUGUCCUUAACUGGGCGGGCGGAGAGUCGCCGCUGUUACUUUGAAAAAAUUAGAGUGUUCAAAGCGGGCUUACGCUUGAAUAUAUUAGCAUGGAAUAACACGAUAGGACUCCGGCCCUAUUUUGUUGGUCUUCAGGACUGGAGUAAUGAUUAAGAGGAACAGUUGGGGGCAUUCGUAUUUCAUUGUCAGAGGUGAAAUUCUUGGAUUUAUGAAAGACGAACUUCUGCGAAAGCAUUUGCCAAGGAUGUUUUCA
Molecule: ribosomal RNA, 379 nt
Filed under: uncultured Monomastix
Lineage: Eukaryota; Viridiplantae; Chlorophyta; Mamiellophyceae
Description: SSU rRNA
Rfam family: Eukaryotic small subunit ribosomal RNA
Source: RNAcentral